UACCCGCGGCCCGAGUGGUGCUCAUUAUUAUUGAGCCUAAAGCGUUCGUAGCUGGCCGGGUAAAUCCUUGGGGAAAUCGGGCGACCUAAUCGACCGAAGACCAGGGACACUACUUGGCUUGGGAUCGGGAGAGGGUGAUAGUACUUCCUGGGUAGGGGUAAAAUCCUGUAAUCCAGGGGGGACUACCAGUGGCGAAGGCGAUCACCUAGAACGAAUCCGACAGUGAGGGACGAAGCCCUAGGGCGCAAACGGGAUUAGAUACCCCGGUAGUCUAGGGUGUAAACGCUGCAGACUUGGUGUUGGGGGUCCUGAGGGGACACCCAGUGCCGGAGCGAAGGUGUUAAGUCUGCCGCUUGGGGAGUACGCUCGCAAGAGUGAAACUUAAAGGAAUUGGCGGGGGAGCACCGCAACGGGAGUAGCGUGCGGUUCAAUUGGAUUCAACGCCGGAAAACUCACCGGGAGCGACGGAAGGAUGAAGGCCAAGCUGAAGACUUUGCUCGAUCUUCCGAGAGGUGGUGCAUGGCCGUCGUCAGUUCGUACCGUAAGGCGUUCUGUUAAGUCAGAUAACGAACGAGACCCUCGCCUUCAAUCGCGAGCUCGUCCGAGAGGGCGGGUGCACUUUGAAGGGAUCGCCGCUGCUAAAGCGGAGGAAGGGGAGGUCUACGGUAGGUCCGUAUGCCCCGAAUCUCCCGGGCGACACGCGCGCUACAUUGGUGGGACAAUGGGAUCCGACCCCGAGAGGGGAAGGCAAUCCUGAAACCCAUUCUCAGUCUGGACUGAGGGCUGUAACUCGCCCUCACGAAAAUGGAUUCCGUAGUAAUCGCGAGUCAACAUCUCGCGGUGAAUAUGCCCCUGCUCCU
RNAcentral lists this ribosomal RNA (860 nucleotides) under uncultured archaeon. Its description in RNAcentral is "bacterial SSU rRNA". It matches the Rfam family "Archaeal small subunit ribosomal RNA", at positions 474 to 1337 of the family's 1478-position model. The record is from RNAcentral.